This 347-nucleotide ribosomal RNA is filed under the name uncultured rumen bacterium. RNAcentral describes it as "bacterial SSU rRNA". It matches the Rfam family "Bacterial small subunit ribosomal RNA", at positions 20 to 363 of the family's 1533-position model. The record is from RNAcentral.
UGGCUCAGGAUGAACGCUGGCGGCAGGCUUAACACAUGCAAGUCGAGGGGCAGCGCGGGGGUAGCAAUACUCCUGGCGGCGACCGGCGCACUGGUGAGUAACACGUAUGCGACCUGCCCCGGACAGGGGGAUAAACCCGGGAAACCGGGCCUAAUACCCCAUAUGCCCUAAGGAUGCAUGUCCUUUGGGUGAAAGAUCCGUCGGUCCGGGAUGGGCAUGCGGCGCAUUAGCUUGUUGGCGGGGCAACGGCCCACCAAGGCGACGAUGCGUAGGGGUUCUGAGAGGAAGGUCCCCCACUGGUACUGAGACACGGACCAGACUCCUACGGGAGGCAGCAGUGGGGAAUA